Molecule: ribosomal RNA, 253 nt
Filed under: uncultured bacterium
Lineage: Bacteria
Description: partial 16S ribosomal RNA
Rfam family: Bacterial small subunit ribosomal RNA
Source: RNAcentral
UACGGAGGGUGCAAGCGUUAUCCGGAUUCACUGGGCUUAAAGGGUGCGUAGGCGGAUUAGUACGUCAGUGGUGAAAUCUCUGGGCUUAACUCAGAAACUGCCAUUGAUACUAUUAGUCUUGAAUACCGUGGAGGUCAGCGGAAUAUGUCAUGUAGCGGUGAAAUGCUUAGAUAUCGUCCAGAACACCGAUAGCGAAGGCAGCUUACUAAGGAGUAACUGACGCUGAGGCACGAAAGUGUGGGGAUCAAACAGG